RNAcentral lists this long non-coding RNA (241 nucleotides) under Lathyrus oleraceus (garden pea). RNAcentral describes it as "Pisum sativum (pea) long non-coding RNA (PSAT_LNC038942)". Lineage: Eukaryota; Viridiplantae; Streptophyta; Magnoliopsida; Fabales; Fabaceae. The record is from RNAcentral.
UUUUUCAUAAUCUGCAAAAGUAAGUUAAAAGUUAUUCAUUCAAGACUAAAUGUUCAUACAAAUCUGCAUGACACCACAUCAAAAACAAUUUGUCUUUUUCAUUUCUUUCCUUUUCUCCUUUAUCGUCUUCUUUUUUUUACUUCUCUUUCUUCUUUCUUUUCUUUCUCUUUUUUUUGUAAAGGUCUUGAUUAACUAAAGACAAGUUGCUAAUUUUACUGUGAUUAGAAUUUUUAUGAAUCCA